UACAGCCAUACCACCCUGAACACGCCCGAUCUCAUCUGAUCUCGGAAGCUAAGCAGGGUCGGGCCCGGUUAGUACUUGGAUAGAAGAAGUAAUGAGCUAAGAUCAGGUUAUAUCUGAUU
Molecule: ribosomal RNA, 119 nt
Organism: Erinaceus europaeus (western European hedgehog)
Lineage: Eukaryota; Metazoa; Chordata; Mammalia; Eulipotyphla; Erinaceidae
Source: Ensembl